UUGUCGAAACCUGCCCAGCAGAGCGACCCGCGAACGAGUGAAAACAAACCGGGACGGAACGGAGAGGGGCGUCCGCCCCCGACCGGCCGUCCGCCGGGCCCCGGCCGCCGUCCCGGAAGGGACGGGGUGCCGGCGUGCCCGCGCAGGACCAAAAACCGGCGCGACAGGCGCCAAGGAAAUCUCACGAGGAGACGGAGGGCCGCCCCGUUCGCGGGCGCGGCCCCCCGGAAUCCGAUACUCGAACGACUCCCGGCAACGGAUAUCUCGGCUCUUGCAUCGAUGAAGAACGUAGCGAAAUGCGAUACUUGGUGUGAAUUGCAGAAUCCCGUGAACCAUCGAGUCUUUGAACGCAAGUUGCGCCCGAGGCCACUAGGCCGAGGGCACGCCUGCCUGGGCGUCACACACAGCGUCGCACCCCGCCAACCAGGUUGACGGGGAGCGGAGACUGGCCCCCCGUGCCCGCACGGGCACGGUCGGCACAAAUUUCGGUCCCAUGCGGCGAGCGUCGCGGUCAGCGGUGGUUGUGCUCAUCAUCCCCCGAGGACGUCAAGACGCGGUCGCCCGUCGCGUGACGGGACGYGCAGACCCCACGGAGCCGCCCCCCGGGCGGCGUCCACCCUGCGACCCCA
RNAcentral lists this ribosomal RNA (629 nucleotides) under Delphinium thibeticum. Its description in RNAcentral is "eukaryotic LSU rRNA". The stretch from base 245 to 400 matches the Rfam family "5.8S ribosomal RNA". The record is from RNAcentral. Lineage: Eukaryota; Viridiplantae; Streptophyta; Magnoliopsida; Ranunculales; Ranunculaceae.